UACAUACUGUGCGAACGUUAUUCGGAUUCACUGGGCUUAAAGGGUGCGUAGGUGGCUUGUUAAGUAGGAUGUGAAAUCCCUCGGCUCAACCGGGGAACUGCAUUCUAAACUGGCGAGCUAGAGUGAGAUAGGGGUGUCCGGAACUGCCAGUGGAGCGGUGAAAUGUGUUGAUAUUGGCAGGAACGCCGGUGGCGAAAGCGGGACACUGGGUCUCAACUGACACUGAGGCACGAAAGCCAGGGGAGCGAACGGGAUUAGAAACCCGAGUAGUCC
This 273-nucleotide ribosomal RNA is filed under the name uncultured bacterium. Its description in RNAcentral is "partial 16S ribosomal RNA". It matches the Rfam family "Bacterial small subunit ribosomal RNA", at positions 524 to 796 of the family's 1533-position model. The record is from RNAcentral.